ACACAUGCAGUCGAGGGGCAGACGAUCCCGAGUAAUCGGGAUUGGUGGCGACCGGCGCACGGGUGAGUAACGCGUAUGCAACCUUCCUUUUACAGGAGGAUAGCUUCCGGAAACGGAAAUAAUACUCCAUACAAUUACGAAGUGGCAUCACUUUCAGAUUAAAGCUGAGGCGGUAAAAGAUGGGCAUGCGUAACAUUAGCUUGUUGGUAAGGUAAGGGCUCACCAAGGCGACGAUGUUUAGGGGUCCUGAGAGGGUAUCCCCCACACUGGUACUGAGACACGGACCAGACUCCUACGGGAGGCAGCAGUGAGGAAUAUUGGUCAAUGGGCGCAAGCCUGAACCAGCCAUCCCGCGUGCAGGAAGACGGCCCUAUGGGUUGUAAACUGCUUUUCUGAGGGAAGAAUAAUCCCGAGUUACUCGGGAGACGGCGGUACCUCAGGAAUAAGCAUCGGCUAACUCCGUGCCAGCAGCCGCGGUAAUACGGAGGAUGCAAGCGUUAUCCGGAUUCAUUGGGUUUAAAGGGUGCGUAGGCGGACUGGUAAGUCAGUGGUGAAAUCCUGCAGCUUAACUGUGGAAUUGCCAUUGAAACUGUCAGUCUUGAGUCAGGUUGAGGUAGGCGGAAUGUGUAAUGUAGCGGUGAAAUGCAUAGAUAUUACACAGAACACCGAUUGCGUAGGCAGCUUACUGGACCUGCACUGACGCUGAGGCACGAAAGCGUGGGGAUCAAACAGGAUUAGAUACCCUGGUAGUACACGCCGUAAACUAUGAUUACUCGUUGUUGGCAAUACAUCGUCAGCGACCAAGCGAAAGCGAUAAGUAAUCCACCUGGGGAGUACGCUCGCAAGAGUGAAACUCAAAGGAAUUGACGGGGGCCCGCACAAGCGGUGGAACAUGUGGUUUAAUUCGAUGAUACGCGAGGAACCUUACCUGGGCUUAAAUGUAGACUGCAUAGCGUGGAAACAUGCUUUUCUUUUAGACUGUUUACAAGGUGCUGCAUGGUUGUCGUCAGCUCGUGCCGUGAGGUGUCGGGUUAAGUCCCAUAACGAGCGCAACCCUUAUCGUUAGUUGCCAUCGGGUAAAGCCGGGGACUCUAGCGAAACUGCCACCGUAAGGUGAGAGGAAGGUGGGGAUGACGUCAAGUCAUCAUGGCCCUUAUGUCCUGGGCUACACACGUGCUACAAUGGCCGGUACAGAGUGACGCGAAAACCGCGAGGUGGAGCAAAUCGCAGAAAGCCGGUCUCAGUACAGAUUGGAGUCUGAAACCCGACUUCAUGAAGGUGGAAUCGCUAGUAAUCGCGCAUCAGCAUGGCGCGCCGAAUACGUUCCCGGGCCUUGUACACACCGCCCGUCACACCACCCGAGUUGGGGGUACC
RNAcentral lists this ribosomal RNA (1374 nucleotides) under uncultured organism. RNAcentral describes it as "bacterial SSU rRNA". It matches the Rfam family "Bacterial small subunit ribosomal RNA", at positions 51 to 1421 of the family's 1533-position model. The record is from RNAcentral.